RNAcentral lists this unclassified non-coding RNA (255 nucleotides) under plant metagenome. RNAcentral describes it as "partial contains small subunit ribosomal RNA, internal transcribed spacer 1, and 5.8S ribosomal RNA". The record is from RNAcentral.
UUUCCGUAGGUGAACCUGCGGAAGGAUCAUUACUGAGUGAGGGCCCCUCGGGGUCCAACCUCCCACCCGUGUUUAGCGAACCUUGUUGCUUCGGCGGGCCCGCCUCACGGCCGCCGGGGGGCAUCUGCCCCCGGGCCCGCGCCCGCCGAAGCCACCUGUGAACGCUGUCUGAAGUAUGCAGUCUGAGACAAUUAUUAAAUUAAUUGAAACUUUCAACAACGGAUCUCUUGGUUCCGGCUCGAUGAAGAACGCAGC